This 3221-nucleotide ribosomal RNA is filed under the name Celeribacter halophilus. RNAcentral describes it as "bacterial LSU rRNA". The stretch from base 396 to 3221 matches the Rfam family "Bacterial large subunit ribosomal RNA". The record is from RNAcentral. Lineage: Bacteria; Pseudomonadati; Pseudomonadota; Alphaproteobacteria; Rhodobacterales; Roseobacteraceae.
UAUCUGACAUCGUAUAGAGAGAUUAAUUGCAACAUCGUUGGUUGCCCAAGUGUGGGUUAACCUCCGUCGCUUCCCCUCAUGAAUUUGGGAGGAAGGUGUUUUGCGGUCCCUUUCCUCGGACUUCUUAACAUAUCGCGGCGCGAAAAGAUGAUGUUGCCCAAGUCAAGUACACUAACCAGGUGCAUUCUCGAGAGAGGAUGUCACCGCGUCUGCCGUAGACAUACGGUUGGACGUAAGUGCUUUCUUGUGAGGCCUCACCGACAUGAGGUCUCGUAUGCAAGGAAGCGCGGGAAAAUGUAUGCUUUUGGUUCGGGAAGCGCGCAACAUUGCUUACCAGCUUAUGUUGUCUGCAAAGCGGCGCAUCUUCGGAUGCAGUUUUGCUCUUUCUGGAUCAAAUCAAGCGCGAGAAGGGCGUUUGGUGAAUGCCUUGGCAGUAAGAGGCGAUGAAGGACGUGAUACUCUGCGAUAAGUCAUGGGGAGCUGAGAAUAGGCUUUGAUCCAUGAAUUUCCGAAUGGGGGAACCCACCUGACAGUUCGAUAUUGUUACCUUGGUAAUCAAUAUCUUGCUGAACCAGGUACUUAUAGACUGAAUACAUAGGUUUAUAAGAGCAAACCCGGGGAACUGAAACAUCUAAGUACCCGGAGGAAAGGACAUCAAUAGAGACUUCCCUAGUAGCGGCGAGCGAACGGGAACCAGCCGAGCAUGAUAAGUGACUAGAACACGUUGGAAAGCGUGGCCAUAGCGGGUGAUAGCCCCGUAUAGGAAGCUUUGAGUGACGUAUUAAGUAGGGCGGAACACGUGAAAUUCUGUCUGAAGAUCGGGGGACCACCCCCGAAGGCUAAGUACUCCUUACUGACCGAUAGUGAACCAGUACCGUGAGGGAAAGGUGAAAAGCACCCCGACGAGGGGAGUGAAACAGUUUCUGAAACCGGACGCCUACAAGCAGUCGGAGGGACCUCGAGUCCUGACGGCGUACCUUUUGUAUAAUGGGUCAUCGACUUGGUCUUACGAGCAAGCUUAAGCCGUUAGGUGUAGGCGUAGCGAAAGCGAGUCUUAAUAGGGCGCAUGAGUUCGUGGGAUCAGACCCGAAACCGAGUGAUCUAGGCAUGACCAGGAUGAAGGUUAGGUAACACUAACUGGAGGUCCGAACCCACACCUGUUGAAAAAGGUCGGGAUGAGUUGUGCCUAGGGGUGAAAGGCCAAUCAAACUCGGAGAUAGCUGGUUCUCUGCGAAAUCUAUUUAGGUAGAGCGUCAUCCGAAUACCCCGGGGGGUAGAGCACUGGAUGGGUAAUGGGGCCUUACCGGCUUACUGAUCCUAACCAAACUCCGAAUACCCGGGAGUACUAGAUGGCAGACACACUGCGGGUGCUAACGCCCGUAGUGGAGAGGGAAACAACCCUGACCUCCGGCUAAGGCCCCUAAUUCAUGGCUAAGUGGGAAAGCAGGUGGGACGACCAAAACAACCAGGAGGUUGGCUUAGAAGCAGCCAUCCUUUAAAGAUAGCGUAACAGCUCACUGGUCUAGAUAAGUUGUCCUGCGGCGAAGAUGUAACGGGGCUCAAGCCAUGAGCCGAAGCCGAGGAUGCCGUAAGGCAUGGUAGCAGAGCGUAGUGUGACAUAGUUCCAUGCGUCCUUAACUUCCUUCGGGAAGCCUUGGACGCACGGAGCUUUCUGUGAAGCUGGCGCGUGAGCGAUCCGGUGGAGAGAUCACUAGUGAGAAUGAUGACAUGAGUAGCGACAAACAGGGUGAGAGACCCUGUCGCCGAAAGUCCAAGGGUUCCUGCUUAAAGCUAAUCUGAGCAGGGUAAGCCGACCCCUAAGGCGAGGCCGAAAGGCGUAGUCGAUGGGAACCAGGUUAAUAUUCCUGGGCCAGAGAGAAGUGACGGAUCGCAGAGGUCGUUCAUCCUUAUCGGAUUGAAUGGGCGGCUGAGCGGUUCCUGGAAAUAGCCUCUCAUUAGAUCGUACCCUAAACCGACACAGGUGGACUGGUAGAGAAUACCAAGGCGCUUGAGAGAACGAUGUUGAAGGAACUCGGCAAAAUACCUCCGUAAGUUCGCGAGAAGGAGGCCCAGUUUCUACGCAAGUAUUGGCUGGGGGCACAAACCAGGGGGUGGCGACUGUUUACUAAAAACACAGGGCUCUGCGAAGUCGCAAGACGACGUAUAGGGUCUGACGCCUGCCCGGUGCCUGAAGGUUAAAAGGAGGAGUGCAAGCUCCGAAUUGAAGCCCAGGUAAACGGCGGCCGUAACUAUAACGGUCCUAAGGUAGCGAAAUUCCUUGUCGGGUAAGUUCCGACCUGCACGAAUGGCGUAACGACUUCCCCGCUGUCUCCAACAUCGACUCAGCGAAAUUGAAUUGCCUGUCAAGAUGCAGGCUUCCCGCGGUUAGACGGAAAGACCCCGUGCACCUUUACUACAGCUUCACACUGGCAUUAGGCCGAACAUGUGCAGGAUAGGUGGUGGGCUUUGAAACCGAGACGCCAGUCUCGGUGGAGCCUCCCUUGAGAUACCACCCUUGUUCUGCUUGAUGUCUAACCGCGGUCCGUUAUCCGGAUCCGGGACCCUGUGUGGCGGGUAGUUUGACUGGGGCGGUCGCCUCCCAAAGAGUAACGGAGGCGCGCGAAGGUUGGCUCAGAGCGGUCGGAAAUCGCUCGUUGAGUGCAAUGGCAGAAGCCAGCCUGACUGCAAGACUGACAAGUCGAGCAGAGUCGAAAGACGGCCAUAGUGAUCCGGUGGUCCCGAGUGGAAGGGCCAUCGCUCAACGGAUAAAAGGUACGCCGGGGAUAACAGGCUGAUACUGCCCAAGAGUCCAUAUCGACGGCAGUGUUUGGCACCUCGAUGUCGGCUCAUCUCAUCCUGGGGCUGGAGCAGGUCCCAAGGGUACGGCUGUUCGCCGUUUAAAGAGGUACGUGAGCUGGGUUUAGAACGUCGUGAGACAGUUCGGUCCCUAUCUGCCGUGGGUGUAGGAUACUUGAGAGGAGUUGCCCCUAGUACGAGAGGACCGGGGUGAACGAUCCACUGGUGGACCAGUUGUUAUGCCAAUAGCAGUGCUGGGUAGCUAUGAUCGGAAAGGAUAACCGCUGAAGGCAUCUAAGCGGGAAGCCCCCCUCAAAACAAGGUAUCCCUGAGAGCCGAGGUAGACCACCUCGUCGAUAGGCCGGAGAUGUAAGUGCAGCAAUGCAUUCAGUUGACCGGUACUAAUUGCUCGAUAGGCUUGAUUU